GCCAUGCAAAUGCUGGGCCGCGGAUCCAGGAAGUGGAGAGAGAGAGAGAGGAGAGGGUCAGCGGCCAGCAUUACUCAGAGAAGGUGAUCCAGCUGUCGGUGCUACAAGUUGAUUACAGACAGAUCGCCUUCUGCGAUCACAUCCACCAACAUGGGAGCCACAGCCAGCCACCUCGGGAAGGACCUGCUGUCGGAGUACCAAGAGUUGACGUUUCUGACCAAGCAGGAGAUUCUUCUUGCCCACAAGCGGUUCACUGAACUGCUGUCCAGAGAGGAUAAAAACCUUCCAGACCCCAGGGCUCCGACAGAGGCCAUCCUCACGCUGCCCGAGCUCAAGUCCAACCCUUUCCGAGAGAGGAUUGUCCGUGUGUUCUCGACGUCUGAGUCAAGGGACGGUCUGACCUUUGAGGACUUCCUGGACCUUCUGAGUGCCUUCAGUGACUCGGCCACCCUGGAGAUCAAGUCCCACUACGCCUUCCGGAUCUUUGAUUUUGACGAUGACGGCACUCUGGACGAAAACGACCUGGAGAAGCUGGUGAACUGCCUCACCGGGGAGACAGACGAAACCCGGCUCACCCCGGACGAGAUGAAGCAGCUCAUUAGCAAUGUGAGUUAAUUGAGGCUCAAACUACCAAGCUCAUUAACCAGAUCCUGGAGGAGUCUGACAUCGACAAGGACGGCACGGUGAACCUCUCCGAGUUCCAGCAUGUUAUUUCCAGAUCGCCAGAUUUUGUCAGUUCUUUCAAGAUUGUGCUGUGAAGAUGUGAAAGAGCUUUGGAAACAGAUCUACUGUGUGAUUCUAAUUCUAUACUUGCUCCUUUUCGAUAAUGUUAGGCAGUUUUUAAACAUGCAAAUACUUAAUUUAUUUUUCUGUGAUUUUUUUACUGUACAAUGUUGUGCAAUGCAAAGAUCUUUUUUAUCGUUCUAUUUUUAACCGUUACUUAUCAAACUAAUAAUAAACUUGUGUAUUAAAGUUCCCUCAACAAUG
Gadus morhua (Atlantic cod) is the source of this 987-nucleotide RNA transcript. It is a transcript of the gene named calcium and integrin binding 1 (calmyrin), with no coding region annotated. Lineage: Eukaryota; Metazoa; Chordata; Actinopteri; Gadiformes; Gadidae. The record is from RefSeq and is a predicted model, not a curated record. The transcript is spliced from 7 exons.